Molecule: ribosomal RNA, 429 nt
Filed under: bacterium
Lineage: Bacteria
Description: partial 16S ribosomal RNA
Rfam family: Bacterial small subunit ribosomal RNA
Source: RNAcentral
UAGGGAAUCUUCGGCAAUGGGGGCAACCCUGACCGAGCAACGCCGCGUGAGUGAAGAAGGUUUUCGGAUCGUAAAGCUCUGUUGUAAGAGAAGAACGUGUGUGAGAGUGGAAAGUUCACACAGUGACGGUAACUUACCAGAAAGGGACGGCUAACUACGUGCCAGCAGCCGCGGUAAUACGUAGGUCCCGAGCGUUGUCCGGAUUUAUUGGGCGUAAAGCGAGCGCAGGCGGUUUAAUAAGUCUGAAGUUAAAGGCAGUGGCUUAACCAUUGUGCGCUUUGGAAACUGUUAAACUUGAGUGCAGAAGGGGGGAGUGGAAUUCCAUGUGUAGCGGUGAAAUGCGUAGAUAUAUGGAGGAACACCGGUGGCGAAAGCGGCUCUCUGGUCUGUAACUGACGCUGAGGCUCGAAAGCGUGGGGAGCAAACAGG